RNAcentral lists this ribosomal RNA (98 nucleotides) under Filobacillus milosensis. RNAcentral's name for it is "partial 23S ribosomal RNA". It matches the Rfam family "Bacterial large subunit ribosomal RNA", at positions 2826 to 2925 of the family's 2925-position model. The record is from RNAcentral. Lineage: Bacteria; Bacillati; Bacillota; Bacilli; Caryophanales; Bacillaceae.
AAGUAAGAUCCCUCAGAGACGAUGAGGUUGAUAGGUCCGAGGUGUAAGCGUGGUGACACGUGAAGCUGACGGAUACUAAUCGAUCGAGGACUUAACUU